This 73-nucleotide transfer RNA is filed under the name Pseudonocardia thermophila. It matches the Rfam family "tRNA". Rfam says of the family: Transfer RNA (tRNA) molecules are approximately 80 nucleotides in length. Their secondary structure includes four short double-helical elements and three loops (D, anti-codon, and T loops). Further hydrogen bonds mediate the characteristic L-shaped molecular structure. tRNAs have two regions of fundamental functional importance: the anti-codon, which is responsible for specific mRNA codon recognition, and the 3' end, to which the tRNAs corresponding amino acid is attached (by aminoacyl-tRNA synthetases). tRNAs cope with the degeneracy of the genetic code in two manners: having more than one tRNA (with a specific anti-codon) for a particular amino acid; and 'wobble' base-pairing, i.e. permitting non-standard base-pairing at the 3rd anti-codon position. The record is from Rfam by way of RNAcentral. Lineage: Bacteria; Bacillati; Actinomycetota; Actinomycetes; Pseudonocardiales; Pseudonocardiaceae.
GCCGCCUUAGCUCAGUCGGUAGAGCAACGCACUCGUAAUGCGUAGGUCGUCGGUUCGAUUCCGACAGGCGGCU